CAAUAGUAAAUCUAACGCCAGCCACUCAAUGAUUCUUCGAACAUGAGCCAUUUAAUAUUCAUAUUUAAUGACAGGAAACAAUAUGCCUUAGUAUGCGAAUAUUUAUAAUAUUCAAAUAUUGUUCCGCCACAGAACCCAAUUACCUCUCCAGCUCAAACCGCAUCGAUGGAAUGAUGACGUACAUCUACCACUCCGACGGCCUCCCUCAGGCCAGCGCCUAUUCCAACUGUAGAGCCUGGGGCGCCUACCUCGCAGUGCCGGCCAAUGGGAAUGAACUUGCAUAUUUACGCCAAGUCUCGUCCGGAUUGGGAUAUUUUUGGAUAGGACUUGAUGCUAACGGGCGAAACGGACUUGAUGCGAAAAGGACUUGAUGCUAACGGCUGGUAACAAUAUUGUUACCAGCGGUGCUUUCAACGACUACGGAGGCCAGACACCGAGAUACCUGAAUUGGGGCUCUGGUGAACCAAAUCACUUGACGAGCUCUGAGCAGUGCCUGAACAUUUAUAAUGGUCUUUUCAACGACUUUCCUUGCGAUAUUGCGUCACCGUACAUCUGCCAAUCUUGCGCACCGUACAGCCGAGUUUCGCUGCCUCAUUCAUCCUACCCCGCUGACUACAAGUGCUUCAAAAAACUACGAUAAUGAAC
This is a long non-coding RNA of Hyalella azteca, 645 nucleotides long. RefSeq lists it as uncharacterized. The transcript has 3 exons. Lineage: Eukaryota; Metazoa; Arthropoda; Malacostraca; Amphipoda; Hyalellidae. The record is from RefSeq and is a predicted model, not a curated record.